GGGCAGCACUGCGCAUGUCUGAAGGCGUGUGGCAAAGGGAGGGGCAAUAAGAAGGGCGGGGAAGAAAGGCGUGGCCUCUCAUGGGGAAGGGGCGGGGAGAUCCCAGCUACUGGAGGACGCCGGUUCCAAUGGCAACCCUGCUGAGGCGCCUCUGAGAGCCUCUUGGCUUUUACCUGGUCUGCAAGAAAUCAAACUUUGGGCACAAGUCAUGAAGCUGACAAGCUGGGGAGACACAGUGUCAGAUUUACCAGGUGAAAUCAGCCGCCCGGCCAAGCUAUCUUCUCUCUGGCAAGAGAGGCCUGUGAACAGCCAAGCUCCCCUUGGCACUGCGGAACCGCAGUGGACGCGUGGAGGCGCUCGGUAGAGGGGGGACUUUUGCUUGGGAUGCGGGGAGCUGUAGUCUCUUAUCCGUACCCAGCCUGUUAGUUGUAGGCCUGCAGGACUACAAUCUCGGCACAAACCAGGAUUGUAGGGCAGUGCGGAUCCCAGGAGGGAGACACAGCGUGGUGCGCUCCUGCCGGGCAUGCUGACUAGGGUAGUGUCUUAGGUGCUUCCAGCUGUUAGUCGCAGGGCUGCAGGACUACAAUCCCAGCAUGCAACGGGAGUGUAGGUGGUGACCUUGAGGGAGGGCCUGUGUGGUGCGCGCCUCGCCGGGCAUGCUGGGAACAGUAGCAUCUUAGCUGCUUCCGUCCGCUGGUCGCAGGGCUGCGGGACUACAAUCUCCUCAUGCAAUGAGAGAGAGGAUGGUGCGGAUACGUUGAGGGAGGAACCCUCCAAGGUCUGUUAGAGAAGAAGGGGUAGAAUCCCGAGAAUGUUUUCCCCACAGUGCUGAUGGGGAGAGACCACUAUCCCAUCUACUGCUACAACUCUGGAGACAUGCUUCUCCCACCUCCCCUAUAUGACACAAGGCCUAAUCUGCAGAGAAAGAGCAUCCAAACCUGAUCCAGUGGACACUGUGGAAAAACUCACCACAGCUGAGUGUGGAAAAACAAGGCCAACACACACAUCUCUGCACAGAUACAUCUCUCAUAAAGAAAUUAAAGUGUUAAGUUACCGGGCACUGUUGCAGACCCACUUCAACUGGAAGCUAGGAACAUGGACAAGGAGCAUCUGUACCACUGGGGGAGAUACAGCAAUGUGCUUUUGUCCUGGCAUUGCAUCUACAGGAGGGGCAGGAAACUCUUUGAAGUGACCCCACACCCCAAUUAACAGUGCUAAGUGUGAGGCUCCCUCAGAACAUCAGAGAUAUCCUCACUCCCUCACCCCUGCCACUAGGCUAAGAAGCAUGGAG
Molecule: long non-coding RNA, 1291 nt
Organism: Mandrillus leucophaeus (drill)
Lineage: Eukaryota; Metazoa; Chordata; Mammalia; Primates; Cercopithecidae
Exons: 2
Source: RefSeq, a predicted model, not a curated record